Molecule: non-coding RNA, 1878 nt
Organism: Pantherophis guttatus
Lineage: Eukaryota; Metazoa; Chordata; Lepidosauria; Squamata; Colubridae
Source: RefSeq, a predicted model, not a curated record
AAGUAAUUAAUACCUCAGACUGAAUCAUGCUGUCCAUAGAAUGCAAAUGGAAGUCUCAACACUGACUCAUGGAAAUGGAAAAGUAGGCAAUUGCUGCUGUAGGACUCUUCCUCAGUGACUCAAUGGCUAGAACAGAGGGCAGACACUGUGUUGUAGAAAAAGCAGACAGCGCCACUCUUGUUAAGCAAACAAGCCAGCAGACAGCACAGAGUAUAGACAACAGUACAGUAGGCAACAAAGAACAAAGCUGUUAAGAGAUAAAGUAAACUUUCCCCAAAGGCUAUUAUCAGAGACCGCAUUCCAUCUAUUGUAACAUAAAUGCCCAGGUCUUAUAACAUACUAUAACAUACUAUCCAGUUGGUAAGUAGUGCAAGUCAGUUUGUAUUGUAUAUAUGUAAACAGAUAAAAUAAAAGACUCUGUUUUCUGAUGCAUUGUCAUCUGAUUAUGUGAGACAGAUGCUUUGGUUGUUGUUAAAGAAGAUGCAAUACAAUCCUUUUUCUUUACAGUAUUUUUGGUAAAGGAAUUUUAUAUAAUAAUUUGGUACCUUAAGUAGAAUUGGAAGGGGUUGACUGCAGUGGUGGGUUUCAAAAUUUUUUACUACCGGUUCUGUGGGUGUGGCUUUGUGGGCGUGGCAGUGAAAGGAUACUGUAAAAUCUCCAUUCCCACCCCACUCCAGGGGAAGGUUACUGCAAAAUCUCCAUUUCUUCCCGAUCAGCUGGGACUUGGGAGGCAGAGAUGGGCCAGUCAGAAUUUUUACUACCAGUUCUCCGAACUACUCAAAAUUUCCGCUACCGGUUCUCCAGAACUGGUCAGAACCUGCUGAAAUCCACCUCUGGUUGACUGGUGAACAAAAAUUAUGCCCACAAAUGAUUUCAUCCUUGUCCUAAUUCCUCUCAGAUCCCCUCUCCAAUUCAAACUUGGUAAAGAUAAAAAAUGGGUAAGCUGGCAAAAAGAAAAGACCCAACAUCCUGGGUGACUCCUGUGGCAUGUGUUCAGUGAUUGGUCUUUAUACCAUCAUCAAUAUCUUAAAUUCUAUCCCUGCAUGUGGGAUCAGAAAGGCUGAAACACUUGAAUCACUGAUCCAGCUAAUGCAAAAUAAUUAAGGAAGUGAGAGUGUGAACUAUAGACAUUGAUGGAAUGGAUGGACACCUAACAAUCCUUAACACAAAUAUUGGGUAUAAAUACCUGUGAAUUGGAUAAAUAUUAUUUUAUUUUAAAAGACCAUCAAUAUAUAAAGGUAGGUAGAAGUAUAAUGAAGACUUAUAAGCAGAAAGGGAAAAAUGCUAAGUGUUUUAAUCUAGGUAAAUUUAAUUAAACUCAAUUUAGAAAUAAAUCCCUGAAGACACAGGGAGCACAACUACUCAUUGCAGUCACAUGAAAAUUGUCUUCAAUGCUUAUGACAGCACCACCUAUAUGUAAAAUCAGAGAAAUGUGCAUUUGACACAUCAAAGUUGAAUUCCUAGAUUACCCUAUUUUCUGUCCUUUGAUCUCUGCAAAUAAUAAGGGAGAUGACCUUGAGACAAAUAUGCAAGACUAUUACAUAAACAGAGACAGCUGAUACAUUCUUUAAAUUCUGGGAAGCAAAGUAUUAUCUGGAAGGUGCUCAGGCAAGGAUCUCUCUGAUUCGCUAAGGUUUAAGAAGGAAAGGAGGUAAAGCAUUAUCAGGCUUGCAAGAUUCUGUUACUUUAGCCAAUCUCAAUCUAGUUCUAAUUUUCUUGUGGAACUGAUUUUCUGGUCUAGUUUACCUAGUCUAUCUAUUCUAGAGAGUUGGGGAGAUGGCUUCUGUUGGAAAUAUGAAAGAAUGAUUUCCUAUAUACAAAGGAUGCUGAAACAUCUUUUAAGAUCUAACAAACAAGAGAGCGCUCAGAAGUAGCUCA